AACAAUUGAUAGAGAAGGCAUCUGGUUAGUGGUGUCCAUCUCAUGCAGCCAGAGACAGAGCAAUUCCUUGUUUAUUCCAGCAUUGCUUUUUAGUCUGUGCUCUUGUUUGGUUCAUGCCCUGGACACAAGU
Suncus etruscus (white-toothed pygmy shrew) is the source of this 130-nucleotide small nucleolar RNA. RefSeq annotates it as small nucleolar RNA SNORA48. The transcript has a single exon. The record is from RefSeq and is a predicted model, not a curated record. Lineage: Eukaryota; Metazoa; Chordata; Mammalia; Eulipotyphla; Soricidae.